AAUACCAUCACACCCACUAAACCAUAUGGUGAGGUGCCAUGUCUACUCAUUUCGUGGACACUUUGGCUCUUGCAGGGCUAUCCAGAGCUCCUACAUCAAAGAAGGAGGACAAAACCUAUGUAUAAAAGGGUGUCUACAUGCUGGCUGUAGAUGUUACACAACCAAGCAGGGAGUAGAGGCAAGGAAAGAGCUGUGCAAUCUUGACUGCAUGGGAACUGGGAGCAGGAGGCUUCCCAAGGUCAUGCUUCAACAUGAGACUUGAAAAUCUUACAUGACAGCAAAUAGUGGGACAAUCUGCUACUUCAUGGAUCAUAAAGUAUUAUCUACUGCAGGAUUCGGAAAUUACUUGUUUUAUACUAUUGUUGUGGUUUUAUUUUGCAUCAGUCUCUACAAGUUGUUGCUGCAUAAUUGUUGAGAACCAUUCACUGGCAAAUAAUACUGCU
Molecule: long non-coding RNA, 443 nt
Organism: Neopelma chrysocephalum (saffron-crested tyrant-manakin)
Lineage: Eukaryota; Metazoa; Chordata; Aves; Passeriformes; Pipridae
Exons: 4
Source: RefSeq, a predicted model, not a curated record